UAGGGAAUCUUCGGCAAUGGACGCAAGUCUGACCGAGCAACGCCGCGUGAGUGAAGAAGGUUUUCGGAUCGUAAAACUCUGUUGUUAGAGAAGAACAAGGACGUUAGUAACUGAACGUCCCCUGACGGUAUCUAACCAGAAAGCCACGGCUAACGACGUGCCAGCAGCCGCGGUAAUACGUAGGUGGCAAGCGUUGUCCGGAUUUAUUGGGCGUAAAGCGAGCGCAGGCGGUUUCUUAAGUCUGAUGUGAAAGCCCCCGGCUCAACCGGGGAGGGUCAUUGGAAACUGGGAGACUUGAGUGCAGAAGAGGAGAGUGGAAUUCCAUGUGUAGCGGUGAAAUGCGUAGAUAUAUGGAGGAACACCAGUGGCGAAGGCGGCUCACUGGUCUGUAACUGACGCUGAGGUUCGAAAGCGUGGGGAGCAAACAGG
Molecule: ribosomal RNA, 429 nt
Filed under: Gemmatimonadota bacterium
Lineage: Bacteria; Pseudomonadati; Gemmatimonadota
Description: Gemmatimonadetes bacterium partial 16S ribosomal RNA
Rfam family: Bacterial small subunit ribosomal RNA
Source: RNAcentral